RNAcentral lists this long non-coding RNA (247 nucleotides) under Bos taurus (domestic cattle). Its description in RNAcentral is "long non-coding RNA NONBTAT022453". The record is from RNAcentral. Lineage: Eukaryota; Metazoa; Chordata; Mammalia; Artiodactyla; Bovidae.
CCUGCCACAAUAAAUGAGACUAAGGAAAAGUAUGGAUUGUAAAUCAGAAUUGCUUUAAUAACAAGUCACCAUUUUUGGAGUGUGCAUUCUACUACGCAAGCUCUUUGAGAAGUGUAAAACUAAGAAGCUAAGUCAAAUCAUUAACAGUUGUGACUGAAUCAAAUUCUACCCUUGCCAACUUACUCCAGAGUCCAAACAUGAGAUUGUUAUUGUCAUGUCCUCUAUUUUGCAAAAUAAAGUAUAAGCA